Acanthopagrus latus (yellowfin seabream) is the source of this 5881-nucleotide long non-coding RNA. RefSeq lists it as uncharacterized. The record is from RefSeq and is a predicted model, not a curated record. The transcript has 3 exons. Lineage: Eukaryota; Metazoa; Chordata; Actinopteri; Spariformes; Sparidae.
CUCCUCCUCCUCCUCCUCCGCUUCAUCUCCUCCACUUCCUCUUCAGUCCACUCUGCUAAAUGAAACAUAUCACUUCUCACUUGUAGGAAAUGCAAAUGUUUCCUCAGUCCCUCCCAACACACACGCGCACACACACACUGGCCCGUGCAGAUCAUAUUAUUUGGAACAAAUAAGAUGCUUUUCGGGACCAGAAUAAUACCUGGAGCACCGCAGCUCUCAUUUAAAACAAACCCAGAGGAACAUGCACGCUGGACAUGGCUUCAUGACAAACUCAGUCAUAAACUACAACCACUCAGAUCCAGUAACCUGUCAGCCCCUGCAGCCUGUUUCACAUUCACCCAGUCACGGAUCUGAAACUGCUCAGCCAGUCCUGUGUGGGUGCGCCUAACUGACAGGUAGACCGCCAGGUGGGGGCGCUAUAGUGACCCAGGGGAGUCAGAGGAGAGCGACAGAGCUGUCACAUCCACGGCGCUACAGCAGCCACACACACACACACACACACACACACACACACACACACACACACACACACACACACACACACACACACACACAGAGCAGAGUGAUCAGUGAUGGUCUCACGGAGCCUCGUAGAAAGUUUUACGGCUCUCUUUACACCGGAGGGAUCCGGGACCGGGGUCUGAUCAUGGCGGGGCUGUGCCAGAGGUUACCGGGUGUCCCUGGAUGUCAGUGGCGAGCAGCGCCAUCAGCACGAAUGAGCGCAUGUGCUCAGCUAUUCACUGAUAACAGGCAUCACUGAUGUGACGCGUGCUCCCAAAUACACCACCGUGACAUCACCGUCACCGUCUCAGCCCGGAGUGCAGGGAGCCUCCCUGUUUCGGGUGCUGGCUGCCUGAAGAUGUGUUGACAGCAUGGAGAAAUUGAAUUAGCAGCUGCAGCGCCGGGAACAUUGAAUCAUAUUAGGAGCGCAGCGGAGGAGCAGACGCUACCUGCAGGCCGGAGGCAGAGGAAGAGCUCUGUCACACAGCCCGGUGCAGACAGAACACAGGGGGGAACCCAAGAACACACCGAACCUCUCCUCGGAACCAGAGAGCCCAAACUAGGAAAAGGUGUCGGCGUCGAUUUCAUCGGAUAAAUAUGGCGGAUGAAACUGAAGCUGAUCCAGAAAAGAAAAGAAAAAAAAAAAUCCUGCUCGUGUUCCUGAUUCCCAUCUAAUCUCCAUCCGACCUGACAGCAGCACACUGAGCCCAGAUCUCUGAGCACAUCUCCUCCUUUGUCUCGGACACCGUGCACUGCACAGGUCUUGACAUCCUGAUGGUGAGUUUCGGUGGUGACAGAGCUGUCUCUUUGCCACUCAAAAUGUGGUUCAAGGACCUGCAGGGGCCCCAGAGGUGUUUCAAUGAGGUGUAGAAAACAGGGCCCAGGAUUAAAAUCAGCAUCAUAUUAUCUGACAGGUGUCAUUCUAAGUAAAGUCUGAAAAUAUACCAAAUUUUAGAUUUUUGAUGGUUGUACAAUUUAACAAUAAUUCAAGGAUUAUUCCUCCUUUACAGUCAUAUUUUUAGCUAUGUGCUAGCUAGUUUAAUGAAGGAUUUAGGUUAUAAGAUCAAUGACGGUGGCUUAAAGGUGCCAGUGAGGAGGUUUUCUGCAGCAGCUGAUGAGCAGAGCAGAAAUCUUGGUGACUCACCUCCCUGAAUUAGAUUAUCAUUAUUUUAAAUGAUAUGGUUCUCACAUGCAAAACCCAGGAUUGUCAGAAAAUUCAGUAUUAUCCAUUUCCUGGCCUGAGAGCGUGGGAUGUGAUGUGUGACCUUUUUCUCACAGCACACCCCGACACUGUGUGUGUCAUGUAGACAGCUCAACAUUCAGAAUGAAACCUUUAUAUAUGAUGAAAUGCAUUUGAGCUCCAGGCCAUAUGAACCAGACUGAGACCCACGAGGCAGACUGCGUGGCGUUUAAAGAUUCAACGUGAAGAUGGUGUGAUGAUAAAACAUGCAGGAAUCCUCCAAGGUAAGUUUCACACACCGCAGAGAAAUAUAUUACACAAGGGUUCACAUGUAAAGCCAGGACACAUAUGCAUUAUGGUACCAUAUUAAUACUUUAGCUGCUUGUCUGUGUGUUUUUUAUGUUUUGGGAAUUUUUUGCAACAUCGCUAAAUUUUCCAAAGAAUUUACAGAUGUUCUGAAUCACUAUUUUACAUCCCCACAGAAAUAUAUAGUACAUGUUAAUUGCCCUUAACUAUUGUAUUUUAGCUUCCGUCUCUCAUCCAUCUAAAGAGAAUUAUUUUACGUUUCAACUUCUUUAACAAAUUUCAAAAUAAACCAAGUCAUCUUUCCUGCAGCUGUGUGUAUGUGUUUUCUCUCUGGAUGCUGCUGAAGGUUGCAAUCACGUUGUUUCAGCAACGUUUCUAAUGGUGAGAGAGUGAACAUCUGUGUAUAUAUUUGUGACAUAUUAUAAUUGUUAACGUGUAUGCCCAAAGCAACUGAUUUUCCAUGUUGAGCAAUCCACCAUAAUAUAUACAAUAAAUGCCAAAGUACUUGGUAAAUUGCAGGAGAUUAAAAAAAAUGUAAGGACUUCUUUUUGUAUGAGUUCUGAGAACUGGCUUGAUUUUUUUUCAAAUGGCAAAUGAAUCACUGAUCAGGUUUAGUAAGUGUGAAGGUAUGAAACAAAAAUGUUGUUUUGGACUUUAAAAAAAAAAAAGAAAAAACUGUCUUGGCAGUGGGUGUAUUGUCACCUGUCUUAACCAAAAGUAGCAAUUUCUGGUAGAAAAACAGGAAGUGCUGCCUAAUUUACAUCGAGCUGUAUUUACUGUGGUGCCGCUGGCCUCAGCAGAAGAAAAGGGUGGUCGUGUUGUGAAUGAGAUUUCAGUUUGGAUAAAAUUAGCUGGCAGCACAGUUACGGACAUCGGCAUCAACUGCUGGCACUUUUAUCAACAAUGGUCUGGAAUCAGUGGGAGAUCUCUCUGCUGUUUGCGUUUGCUAAAUGAAGCUCGAGGGAUAUUUGGAAGGUUCUCCCGUUGAAUAACGACACUGCAGUGGAUGAUAGAAAAGCUCCACUGUGAAUGAACCUGGUCGCUGGCUAUACUGAGUUAAUAACUGAUUUCAAUCUACAGCCCCAUUCGAACGCAAUGUUUAUCAUAAUGAAGCUAUCAGAGGUCUCUGUGUGCCCCGACAGCCUGCCGACCUGAGGCCACUUAACAUAACAAAGGCUAAACUGUCAACUAUAACCUGUUAGCAUAGUGAAUGUUUAAUUGAUUGAAGCCUAUUACCAUUCCACAUAGUUUACACUAAGCUGCACAGUGUAUUCAGUAAGUGUUAGCGUGCUUUAUUCAAGUCAGAUAAGUUCUGUUUGCUAACCGAUCUAAUGCUUCUCAUUUGUAAGGAACCCAUGCUAAAUUCAACAGAAUGAAUGUUACUGCGCCUAUAUAGUAUACAGUAUAUUCAAUCAGCUUAUUUUGACUGCAUCUUUUCCACUCCACUAGUCUUAAUAUUCUGAUUGAUAAUGUUCCCGUUUGCUGCCAUGUUUCUCUUGUUCAAAGUUCACAAGUUUGGACUCAACACCAGCAGGUCCACACACACACACACACACACACACACACACACACACACACACACUUCCCAGCAGGAGGUUUAGAUGCCAGGAAAGGAAAGGUAGCUUCAUUUACAUCUCAGGGAUUUCUUUCAUUCAGCGUGACUUGAAUCGGUGAGUGGAGAUUUACAGUCGUUGUGGAGGACACACUGCCCUCUGAGUUACUGCUAGAACACGCUGCUGCCAAGUUCAAACUUCAGUAGCUCAGCAUUUCUUCUCAAAAUUAAUACAUGGCUAAUGACAAAUUAUUAAUUAAAAAUAAACACGCAUACAAAUCUAUUUUAAACUGACAUGACAUUGGUCAUUUGCCAGGUUUUUAGUGUGUGGUAUCCUUGCUAAAUACAAACUAUAUUUAUUUAUUACAUUUUUUUUUUAAAUGGUUUGGAUUUCAUUCACAUUUAUGAUGAUUCAUUUUGUGAAUAUGAAACAUUGCAAAAGGUUUGUAAUAACAUGUUGGAAUCAAAUAAAACACUUUCAGUCGGAACUGUUGUUUUCCUCUUGUGCUUGCUGUACAAUGCUGAACUUUCCUCAAGAUGAAGUGGCAGACACACAUCCUGCCAGCUGGAGCCUAUUUCUUACUUUAUUCAUAAGGGAGUCCUGCAUAAAAACCUGAAUAGAUAUUUUGUAAUGGUUCUGUUUUUUAUGCAUUCAUUCUGUUGUCCAAAUUAUACUGUAACCAAUUUCAUUUUCAAAUCCAUGUGAGUGGAAUAACAUGCAUACUGGUUUUAAUUUAAAAAUGUUUCAGGCAGUUGAGUGGUAAUAUAUUAUUAAUUUAAUUGUCUGUGCAAACGUUUUCUGGCCAUCUCUUCAAGUUUGGAUGUGUUCCACUGUAGCCGGGCAAGGGCCCCUUUUAAAUUUUACGACUAGUAGCAUAUGAACACAACGAUGAGAUGAAAUAAAGCAUACAAGGAAUAAUCUACCGCUAAUCUAAUUUAAUUCAAAUUAGUUCAAAUGGUUCCUGUCCAAUGUUUGACUUCCCUUUAAAAAAAAAACAAAAAAACUUUGUUUGAGAGUUCUGGGACUUGAAGUUUCGUGCUGAUUAGCAGAGAAACAAACAUGCCCUCUCGUGUUCUCCCUUCCUUCAGAACAAAGAGCCAGAGUCGGCCAUAAAAAGUCCCUUUAACAGCACUUCAUUGCCUUUUAAAAAAUAUGGUACUAAUUACCAGCAGUACAAUGUUGCUGAUGGUCACCGCCGUGGUUGAAAUACGAACGACACAAUUAGGAGCAAUCAGAGUGAGAAAAAAAGAUUCAUUUCCUUGACUUUUAUUAUGUUUUUUUUCUUUUUUUUUUCCUUGCAUGAAUGCUGGGAGAAGAAGUGAGUAUUUUACCAAUCAAAUUUUAAUGUCAACAACAAGCAUUUGCUCUGAAUUAAAAUGUGUAGAUUCAUGCCCUCAUUCACUGACCGAGCAACAACGGGCCGACAUGACAUGCAAGCCCGUCCGGCAGCACUCACACAUGUGGGAUUGUUCACUUCUAAUAUCAUUCCAUGUCUUUUCCGAAGGCGACUGUAAAUAGUGCAGUCAAACAUUCUGCUUAGGACAAAUCAUCAGGCAGAGUGUGUUUCAUAAAAUAAUUUCUGAUUAUCAAAGUCAAUCUCCUUCGCUAUUACAGGCAAAGCUAGUACAUUUAAGGAAAAUACAUUUUUAGAGACUUAUAACUAGAGGAAGAAAAAGAUUUGGUCAAAGGAGGCUAAUGUAAAAAAUACAGCAUGAUGGCUACACAUGCUUCUAUUACUGCGCUCAAUUAAAAUUUACUCUGCGGAAAGGCCGAGUGGCGAAUAUAUCCUCAUGAUGUCAGAAGCAUAUCUCAAUUAUACUGUAAACAUCUAAAUGACUUCAGCAACGUAGUAAUAGUGUCAUCUCAUUACUGCAUCUUUUGUCAAAUGUAAUUACAGGAAAAUCAAAGGCAUGAGAGGACCAAAUUUAAUCAGGAACAUUUAGCAGGAGGCCAUGAGGGCACAAACACACGGAGGGAAAGGGAGCUGCUACACGUCACUGGCUGGAAUAAACAUUUUCCCUCUGUCUGCGCUCCCUUUUCUUAUGGCUCAUUCAGACAACAGGCACACCGUAAAACUUCAAACACACUGGGCGAUGGCGUGCUGAGGAAACAGCCGACAUCGGCUGCAGAGAGGAGAGGACGGCCGGCCUCCUGAUUUAACACAAUGACAAGGUAACAAGCAGGGUUAGAUCAUUGUGCUGAUACUGGUCUCUUAUUAGAAAUGUGAUAUUGAAAAUAGGGGGAAUUCCUCCCUGACCUCAGCUGUAUCAAAAUACUCUGCAGUGAUGAAACUGCAUUUCUGUACUUUAGAUUUGGUUAAUUGCUAUGCAAUAAUUUGUUU